GUCCAUGAACUGGCGGCUGGGUGUAGAGCAGGAUGACGGCCGUGGACAAGAGGGAUCCCAGGGGGCCGUGUCCUGGAAGGCCGCAGAGAGAGAGGCAGUCCUCAUGGGUCACCUCCAUAGACCUGGACAGCAGAGCAUCUUUGUCCCUCUGCUCAGCGGAGAGACGGCGAACAUCUUCCAGCAGUGAAGGCGGCGCCUCCAGGAAACACGGAUUGAGACCCCGCCGGUGACCGAGGUUUGGGGCGUGGCCAGUCUGCUCGGACCAAUCAGAGCUCAGGGUGAACUUUGUAAACAAGUCUUCCACGCUGUUUUCUGGAUCGUUGCUUUUCUUUUACUACGGAGAGACGCCGCGGUGCUGCAGCCCGGGAGGAGACGAGCUACAAACAGACGUCAAUACAGAUGUUGAAAUCAAACCUCACUCACAAAAUAUUUCUGAAGACCAGAGGAAUAAUGCAGAGCAGGGAGAAGCAGCACCAGAAAGCCUGCUGUGACCCACAUCACACCUCAUGCUGGGGUCACGGUCUUUCCUGGCACACCUGAGUGACAUCACAAGCAGAGCUGAUGAGACCAGCAGCAGGUGGAGAAGUCCAAGUUUUCAGCGUGUGCCAGCCAGUCAGCUGAGAGGGAGGAAAACAAGAUCUGAGGCCGGCAACGCGUCAGAACUGGGACAAAGACGAGAGAGAAAACAAGGGAGAGCCCCGCUGAAUGACAGAGAUAGGAACCAAUGCAGAAAAGUGGCGCCGAGUGCGGAAGAUGUUGCUUUGAAGCUCGUUCCAGGUGUUUGUGGAUUGCAAAUAUGGCAAAGUAAGAUAGCAGGCAGAGGCAGGAUGAGGCCAGACGUAGGUAAUGACAGGUGUAUUACAGCCAGGUAACUCUGAUUCAGCCUCCCUUUGAUAUCCUGAUCAUCCAGCUGAGUCAUGUAUGAAUGAAAAAAAUCACUUUAUUAUUCAGAUUGUUGUGUCUGAUUCUCUUUCUUCAUCAAAUUAAACUGGAUGUUCUCCUAAAG
Amphiprion ocellaris (clown anemonefish) is the source of this 1006-nucleotide long non-coding RNA. The record is from Ensembl. NCBI's taxonomy places the organism in Eukaryota, Metazoa, Chordata, Actinopteri, Pomacentridae.